AUGCUUCCCGUGGAGCUCAAGGAGCGACUGGCCCAAAAGAGGUUAAGUGGCCCACCCCCAACCCCUCGGGGUUCAACCACCGUCGAUCUCAUCCAUGGCCUCACCGCUGAUCUCCUCUGGCUCGCUGUCAACAAUUUGCCAUUCUACAUCGCCAUCGAGCCCCUUUUGUCAUUUCUGAAGGACGCGCUCUGCGACGCUGGCUUGGGAUCCACAGCUUCCAAGUCAGACCUCAUCGACGGCGACCACGAGGAGGGCACCCUCUCCGGCUCAUCCAAGGGGAAAGAGCCCAUCUGCUCUUCCAAGGCGAAAGCGCCUGUCUGCGACAUCAGUGAGGGCACCCUACAGUCAUGCUCUUCCAAGGGGAAGGAGCCCAUCUGCGACAACAUGGAGCGCAUCCAGGGUUCGUGCUCUUCCCACGGGAACGAGCCCAUCUGUGACAAGGGGGGAGAUCUUAAGAAGUGCAUGGAUAAUGCUAGCUAUGCCUACAAUGAACACAAAUUUAAUAUUGCAAUGAAUGAUCUCAGAGUUGAAAAUGUUAGGAGAAAACCUAUAAGUACAAUGUGUGAUGGGAUAAAAGAUAAGCAGAUGGUGAGGUGGCACAACAAUAGACAGAGUGGAAAGACAGCAAGAUGGAAGAUAACACCUCAUUACAGUGAGAAGCUAGAGAUUGAGAAGGAGAGGGCCAAAUAUUGCAAGCCAAUACAAGCUGGUGUGAACUUAUGGCAAGUUACAAGUGGGCAACAAACACAUGUUGUGAACUUGGAACUUGGGACUUGUGGAUGCUGGAAGUGGGACCUUACUGGCAUCCCAUGCAACCAUGCCAUCUUUGCAAUAAACAAGGCUAAAAGGCUACUCCAAGCAACUCACAACCAAGAGUUGAUGCUCCUGCUCCUACACCACCAUCAAGAUAGGCAAGAGCUGCUGCUACUGCUCCUACACCACCACCAACACAGCAAAGAGUUGCUACUCCUGCUCCUACACCACCACCAACACAGCCAAGAGCUAGAGGAGGAGGAGCUGGCAGAAGAGGUGCUGGUAGAGGAGGUGCUGGGAGAGGAGGAGGUGGGAGAGGAAGUGUUGUCACAAGUGGUGCUGGAAGAGGUGCUGCAGGAAGAAGUGCUGCUGGAAGAGGCCAUGUUGGAGAGGAGGCCACAGCUGUGGAAACAGAAGCAUCGUGGGAAGGCGUUCAUGGCACUAAUUUUCUUCCCGGUGAUCGUGCUCCUCAGCGGCAGUAGCCGAACAAUGUCGGGCCUAUCGACAUCAGCGCUUAUCCCUCCGGUGGAGCGUAACUUGCCGGUUUGGCACCGGCCAAUCAUCGUCCAACGGGGCAAUAAGCUGCUUCAACGUAUCAACCAGAUGGAGGAGGAAGAGCUGGCCAUGGGAAGGAAUGGCACGACCCAAUGGAGCAAAAGCAGAGUCCAGACCGUUGCCGAUGUGGUCCGCUCAGAUGUUGACAGGGGUGACAAAGAAGUGCAAAUGAAGAAUAUCCUGGAGUCGAAGCCCAUGGCCUCACAAUUCCCUAGUUCCGCUACAAAGCAGGGGAUACCGGAGUUCUUUAAGGAUGAAUCUCUUGAGAGACCUAAGUUUGCUUCUCUCACAACGCUAGGGUCCAUGGACAGGAACAACUCAGGGCCUAUUGCUGGUAUCUUGCGACAUAUGAUGGGCCAAAAUGUGACAUAUGCUCUUCUUAAUCACACGGAAUAUUUUGAGUUGGUUCCAUUGGAGGAAUUCAACUCGGGGAGCAGUGACUAUGUUAAUUACUCAGAGACAGAGCCCAAUGUGCUUAUUGAAGUUCUAAUAACUACCUUUGCAGCUGGGAUAAUUGUGUGGUUGAUAUGUACAACGAUGAACAUCAAGCCUGUGAUCUCUAGAUGCUUGGGCAAGGAUGUACGCAUUCUGAUUGCUGUUGCUGUUGUGCUCGCGUCUUCCACGCAUGUGCGGUCUGCUCCUGAAGAUAUUCCACCUGUCGUGGCCACAGUUUUCGGCGAAGGAGUGGAUUCAUACGACCCAUUUCUCAAUGUUAUGCACACGUUGCUAGAAGCAAACACAGAACCUGGUUAG
This 2061-nucleotide ribosomal RNA is filed under the name Triticum aestivum (bread wheat). Its description in RNAcentral is "partial small subunit ribosomal RNA". Lineage: Eukaryota; Viridiplantae; Streptophyta; Magnoliopsida; Poales; Poaceae. The record is from RNAcentral.